ACCCGUUUGACAUUUAAGGCUUCAAGGGCACCUGGCUUUACAGUUUUCAGACAACACCUUCCCUUUUUGUCUCCUCAAUUUCAUUUACAACGUCAUUUGGUUUCAAAGUAGAAUCGACUUCUUCUGUGAUCAAAUUUCUGCUCAAGGAGAAGAUGGAAAAUAUGCAGUAUGCUGAGGAGCUAGUGAGAGAAUUUCUUGUAUUCAGAGGUUUCACUAGUACUCUACAAGCUUUUGAGACGGAACUAAAUACGGAAGUCGGGAAAGGUUUCCAAGUGGAAAAGAUACUUGACUUGAUUUUCUUGAAGUAUAUACCCAGGUUUGAGGCUGAGAAAUUGGUUGGCCUCCUUACUUUCUUUAAGCACUGUAUUUCUUCCUCCGAGACAGUGUUUUAUGCUACAUUGUCCAAACUGGAAGCUUCUGUUCUCCGCUAUUAUAUAGUAUAUGCUGUGCGUUCAGGCAGGAAUGACAAAGUCAAAGAGUUUUUCGAUAUGUUGGGUGAUAACCUGCAGCAGAAAGGCCAUGAUUGGACUCCAUGGUUUGCUAUGCCCUAUCUUAAGAAUCCUGGUUUGGAUCCUCAGUUUUGCAUUUAUUUCUCAAAGGAAUGGUUGGACGCCUUGCAGCUUUCACUAAGGAACUUUCUGAGCCAGAUGUUUAGUGGUACUCGCAUUCCUGCUCUAUUAAAGAUAAGUAUGGAGAAGAACACUACCAACCAGUUCAGGAAAGAUAUUAAGCAGCUUAACGUGAAGUUAUCACAGCUUCAAGCUGUCUUGGAAGAAAGGGAGGCUCAGUUACAUCAGCUUAGAAGCGGUGCUAUUUUAAUGAGACAAGAAGAUGACUCAACAAAGAGUGCUUCUGUGGUUUCUAGAGAGACAAGUCUAUCAAUGGAUUCUGGAAAAAAUAUUGCCACUAAAUUUAGAAGUGAGCCUGAAACUGGAUUCAAGAGCAAUGAAAUGGAUGGAUGUUCAGAUUUGUCCACUACAACUGCCUACAAUGCCAAUCAUGCCCAGAGUUCUUCUGGAAAUCCACCAUUUAGCAACGAUCAGAAAGGAAUCUAUGUUUCCAAAUAUAGUUUUCUUAGUGAUGAAAAGGUGGCUGCAGUCCUAGGCGAGGAAGAAUUUUCAGAAGUGAAAGUGCAGUUCCAGGAAACUUUUCUGGGACACACAAGUCCCAUCAGUAGGUCCCGCUUUUCAGCAUCCGGGGAUAAUAUUGCAAGUGCUUCCGUAGAUGGUACAGUAAGGAUUUGGACGUAUGACUCAUCCACACCUGGAUCUAGAAACGCUACCAUAUAUUGUGGAGCGGAAAUUUUGUCUCUUGACUGGGAUUGUAAAUCUGAUCGAUUGCUUCUCAUAGGCACUGCUGAGGGAGGCAUCAAGGCAUGGAAUGUGGAUGCCAAAAGAGUCGUAUGUGAUCUCACCACAGGUCAAACAUUUCGAAGGGUAUUAGAUAUAAAAUGCAGCCCUGUGGAACCCAUUUUUGUCUCUGCAGCAGCAUCUGAAGGGGAUGAAACAGCUUAUGCUAAUGCGAUGGGGCAUGCUUCACUAACUGUUUGGAACAUGAAGACGUGGAAACCUAUGACAGUCCUUCCUCUUGGCGAAGAACCCCCGGCAAUAACCUCUGUGUGCUUCAAUCACAACGGAAAGAUUUUAGCAGCUGCUGCUGUUGAUGGGAUGAUUCACAUGUUUGAUAUGUCUGCGGGUUUGCAAAUUACUGGAUGGCCCGCUCAUGAUUGUCCAAUUAGCUCUAUUCUUUUUGGACAUGAUGAGACAAGUAUUUUUACUUUGGGAUCAGAUGGAAAAGUAUUUGAAUGGAGCUUGCAGAAGCAAGGUCAAGUAGUCUGGUCAGCAGAUUGCAGCAGGUUCUGCAGUCCUGAUAACUCGAAAAACUGCAGUCGUGAGAUGGCUCUGGAUUGUACUGGAAAGAGACUGCUGGUGACCUCUGAUUUAGUACGAUCACCCAUGUAUCAGGUUGGAAGUCUUGCAAACGGAUCAAAAACACUACCACAUAGUGCAGCUGUGACAACUGUUGAUUGGCAUCCAACCCUGCCUAUCUACCUUACUGGAUCUGCUGAUAAUUCAGUUCGUGUUACAUCUGUUUUGUAAGACAUCAUUCACAUGCGGUUGUACAUUGCUGGUUAAUAUCUGUCUUCUAGCCACAGUUUUAAAAGGUUCGAAAUUUUGCUUGGCUUUUUCUUCUUGCAUUUAGAUGCAUGUUUCAUUAUCAUUACCCCAUUGCCUCAAAGAGGCUCCCGCAAGAAGCGGGGUAAGGGGGGUCGGACGUACGCAACCUUACCCCUGCAAUUGCAGAGAGGUUGUUUCCAAUUGACCCAAAAGCAAUAACUGGACGACCACGGGACGACCAUCUUCUACUUCAUGGAAAGGAAGCGAAGAGGUUUUAAGAGCUAUUUUGAUUUAGUCCAUUAUAUUCAAUGCUGAAAAGAACAAAUGUAUCUUUGGCUCCAUCGGAAAUGGACAGAUUUAGAUGCAUGUUUCUUGAUACAUUUUUUGUACUUAGCACAAAUAGAUUUCUAGAAACUUUUAGUGUAAUAUUCUUGGAUCUUGAGAUCAUCUGUUUUAAUCUUUUCUAUAUUAGAUGGUGGCAUUGACUUUAUUGGCCAAGUCCUAAGUUUGACAUUGCUUGACUUUGAACCUAUCCCGUUGGAAACGAGUACUACAAUAAUACACAUCUGUUGUCAAAUGAUUAUGCCUUUCAGCUUGAUCACUGUCUUGCAAAUUUCGUAAUCUUAGACACUCAAAAUGUUUUGAAUGUCAAAACUCAACUAUUAAUUUCUCGCAAAAUACAUUGCAUUAUUUACAGUGUGAGAAAAUUGUGUGCUUAUAUUUAAAAAGUGGUAGUUAAGAAGGAUGAUACUAUAAAGAUGGGUGAUUUGUUAUAAAAAAAUUGAUAAUAAUAUAUAAAGAGUGGAGUAGCAGAGAUGCAUAUGUUGAGAGAGAUAUGUGGGAACACUUUAAGGAUACAAUUAUGAACGGCGAUAGAAGAAGUCGAGGAGGGCCAAAUAUGACUUGGAUGGAGGGAGUUAAAUAAAUAAGAUUUACAGAAGCAAUAACACUUGAUAGAAGUAAAUAGAGGGAGAGGAUCAUGGUAGCGACACCAGAGAUAGAAUCUAGGUUCUGUUGCCAACCCAAUCCUAUUGGAUUAACACUUUGACAUUGUAUUUAAAAAGUACCCGACUUUCUAUAUUCGCAUUAUUUUUACACGAUUGUUAUUAAUAUAUUUUGGGAGAAAUUAUGUCCAUGAGAAUUUAAUGCCAUGUUGAUAAUCCUUUUUUUUUUCUUUCAUUUUUUACAACCAAAUAUUGAAUGUCCACACUUUGAUGCUUUUAGGAGUAUAGCCAUUUCUAAUUCGUGUCAAUAAAAUAUUAACAUGAAGCUUUGAAUAAAAUAUCAAUAUUGGGGUUGGGGAAAAACUAUGAAACUGCAUUAGUGCAGUGGGCACUUCCAGUGUGUAAAAUAAUGGGUAUACAAUCACUCCACAGUUGACCAAGACUUGAUCUAGUCUAAAGGCUUGAAGAAUCUGACUUCAAAUCAUGGUGGGAAUGAAUUUAUUGGCUUCUUUUUCUUUCUUUUUUAAAGGUGUGUAGCGAAGUCUUACAAGUCAUUAAUGUGCAUUAUCAUGUGAAAUCGUAGGAUGAUCCCACAGUUUAUGACUUUUAGACAACCUUAGGAACAUGAAUUGAACUUGCACAAGUACUCGUAUUAUCUUUAUUAUGUAGAAACUUCUCAUCUAUUGUUGGACUUGUUUGUUGACUCUAGAGUCUAGAAUCCAUGAGUAUCAUUAUUGUGAUUUUAGUCCAUGUUUCCUCAGUAUAUAUUCAGCAAAUAUAUUAUUCUAGGAAUCAACAAGUUUCAAACCUGAUAUUAUUUUCCUUCAAAAAAUGUCAGGGUCACGUUUUAUAUGGAAUAUUCUCUUGCUUUUUGUACUUUGGAUAUGUGUCACAAAAACCCCCUCCUUUAGCUUAGAAAUUAAGACCAAUAGGUGCAUAGAGAAGGAAGGAGAGGCCCUUCGCAGCAUUUACCCUACAUGUGCAAAUUACUUGAGUCAAAAUUACCAUGACUGCUGCAAUUGGCCUGGUGUCUAUUGCAGCAACCUCACUGGCCGCGUUAACCGACUUUUGUUGAAUUCCUUCAACCCUUUCAAGUUUGAACUUCUUGGGCACUUUGAGCUUGGCGAAUAACAACUUAACCGGGAGAAUUCCGACAGGAACUCAAAUUCAAAGCUUCGAUGCUUCAGUUUUUGUGGGAAACCCUAGACUUUGUGGGGACCCACUUCCAAAGAAGUGCAAUGGAGAUGAAGGUAAAGCAGAUCGCAACAAUGAUCAUGAUAAUCACACCCCUGAAAACAACAAUGAAGAUGCAUCUAUAUCUUUGGGUUUGUACAUCAGCAUUGCACUUGGAUUUAUCUCUGGUUUUUGGGUAGUUUGUGGUGUGUUAAUAUUCAAGAAAUCUUGGAGAUAUGCCUAUUUUCGCUUCUGGAUUGAUUUGUAUGACAGACUGUGUGUGUUCAUUACUUUGAAGCUUGCUUAUAUUCGAACAUGAAAUCCAAGCGAUUUCAUGGUUCAACAAUUGUUCAUUGUGCUGAACACAAAAGUAUUGAGUAGUUUGUUUGAAUGAGGUUGUGACAUGCCCAACUCAGAAGUUAAUAUACCAUUAAUCCUUUUCUGUGUCCUAA
RNA transcript from Spinacia oleracea (spinach), 4686 nucleotides. RefSeq lists it as uncharacterized. The record is from RefSeq and is a predicted model, not a curated record. The transcript is spliced from 17 exons. Lineage: Eukaryota; Viridiplantae; Streptophyta; Magnoliopsida; Caryophyllales; Amaranthaceae.